This 1403-nucleotide ribosomal RNA is filed under the name uncultured bacterium. RNAcentral describes it as "bacterial SSU rRNA". It matches the Rfam family "Bacterial small subunit ribosomal RNA". The record is from RNAcentral.
GGCUUAACACAUGCAAGUCGAGGGGCAGCAUACCCAGCAAUGGGUGAUGGCGACCGGCGGAAGGGUGCGUAACGCGUGAGCAACAUACCCUAUACAGGGGGAUAAGCCAGGGAAACUUGGUCUAAUAUCCCAUAGGAAAUAGAUAAGGCAUCUUGUUUAUUUUAAAGCUUCGGUGGUAUAGGAUUGGCUCGCGUGACAUUAGCUAGAUGGAGGGGUAACGGCCCACCAUGGCAAUGAUGUCUAAGGGUUCUGAGAGGAAGAUCCCCCACACUGGGACUGAGACACGGCCCAGACUCCUACGGGAGGCAGCAGUGAGGAAUAUUGGACAAUGGAUGGAAAUCUGAUCCAGCCAUGCCGCGUGCAGGAAGACGGCCCUAUGGGUUGUAAACUGCUUUUAUACGGGAGCAAUAAGGUCUAUGCAUAGAUUGAUGAGAGUACCGUAUGACUAAGCAUCGGCUAACUCCGUGCCAGCAGCCGCGGUAAUGCGGAGGAUGCGAGCGUUAUCCGGAUUUAUAGGGUUUCAAGGGUGCGUAGGCGGCUUUGUAAGUCAGCGGUGAAAUUUUGCAGCUUAACUGUAAAAGCGCCGUUGAUACUGUGAAGCUAGGAUUUGGUUGCUGUGGGCGGAAUGUGUGGUGUAGCGGUGAAAUGCAUAGAGAUCACACAGAAUAUCGAUUGCGAAGGCAGCUCACAAAGCCAAUAUUGACGCUGAGGCACGAAAGUGUGGGGAUCAAACAGGAUUAGAUACCCUGGUAGUCCACACUGUAAACGAUGAUAACUCGCUGUCGGCGAUAGACCGUCGGUGGCCAAGCGAAAGCGAUAAGUUAUCCACCUGGGGAGUACGACCGCAAGGUUGAAACUCAAAGGAAUUGACGGGGGCCCGCACAAGCGGAGGAACAUGUGGUUUAAUUCGAUGAUACGCGAGGAACCUUACCCGGGCUCGAACGGUGCAUGAAUAAUACAGAGAUGGAUUAGUCCUUCGGGACAUGUAUCGAGGUGCUGCAUGGUUGUCGUCAGCUCGUGCCGUGAGGUGUCGGCUUAAGUGCCAUAACGAGCGCAACCCUUGUCAUUAGUUACCAUCAGGUCAAGCUGGGGACUCUAGUGAGACUGCCACCGUAAGGUGUGAGGAAGGGGGGGAUGACGUCAAAUCAGCACGGCCCUUAUGUCCGGGGCGACACACGUGUUACAAUGGGAGGUACAGAGGGCAGCCAGUUAGUGAUAACGCGCCAAUCUCAAAAACCUUUCUCAGUUCGGAUUGGAGUCUGCAACUCGACUCCAUGAAGUUGGAUUCGCUAGUAAUCGCGCAUCAGCCAUGGCGCGGUGAAUACGUUCCCGGGCCUUGUACACACCGCCCGUCAAGCCAUGGAAGCUUGGGGUGCCUAAAGUUCGUAACCGAAAGGAGCGAC